GACGAACGCUGGCGGCGUGCUUAACACAUGCAAGUCGAACGGUAAGGCCCUUCGGGGUACACGAGUGGCGAACGGGUGAGUAACACGUGGGUGAUCUGCCCUGCACUUCGGGAUAAGCCUGGGAAACUGGGUCUAAUACCGGAUAGGACCACUGCCUGCAUGGGUGGUGGUGGAAAGCUUUUGCGGUGUGGGAUGGGCCCGCGGCCUAUCAGCUUGUUGGUGGGGUGAUGGCCUACCAAGGCGACGACGGGUAGCCGGCCUGGGAGGGUGACCGGCCACACUGGGACUGAGAUACGGCCCAGACUCCUACGAGAGGCAGAAGGGGGGAAUAUUGCACAAUGGGCGCAAGCCUGAUGCAGCGACGCCGCGUGGGGGAUGACGGCCUUCGGGUUGUAAACCUCUUUCAGCACCGACGAAGCGCAAGUGACGGUAGGUGCAGAAGAAGGACCGGCCAACUACGUGCCAGCCGCCGCCGUAA
RNAcentral lists this ribosomal RNA (478 nucleotides) under uncultured bacterium. RNAcentral's name for it is "partial 16S ribosomal RNA". It matches the Rfam family "Bacterial small subunit ribosomal RNA", at positions 28 to 523 of the family's 1533-position model. The record is from RNAcentral.